This 385-nucleotide ribosomal RNA is filed under the name Cucumispora dikerogammari. Its description in RNAcentral is "SSU rRNA". It matches the Rfam family "Microsporidia small subunit ribosomal RNA", at positions 77 to 404 of the family's 1311-position model. The record is from RNAcentral. Lineage: Eukaryota; Fungi; Microsporidia.
CUGCGGACUGCUCAGUAACAGACAUAUAAUUUAAUCUUUACAGAAACGAGCGGAAUAAACUCAGGAAACAGAGUGCAAUACGUAAAAGACGAAUUUUUUAUUAUAAGAAAUACGUUUUUAGCUUGAACAAAGCGGUAAAGAAUAAGUUGUCAGCCUAUCAGUUAGUAAGUAGGGUAAGGGCCUAUUUAGACGAAGACGGGUACGGGGAAUUAGAGUUUGAUUCCGGAGAGGGAGCCUGAGAAAUAGCUACCAGGUCCAAGGACGGCAGCAGGCGCGAAAAUUACCGAAGCUCGAAUAGAGGCGGUAGUAAUGAGACGUAUUAAUAUAAAACAAGGGUAAAAAACUUGUUAGUAACUGGAGGUCAAGUCUGGUGCCAGCAGCCGCG